RNAcentral lists this non-coding RNA (31 nucleotides) under Homo sapiens (human). Lineage: Eukaryota; Metazoa; Chordata; Mammalia; Primates; Hominidae. The record is from RNAcentral.
UCUCCACGUGGACGUUAUGCGUCUUGAGGUC